RNA transcript from Hordeum vulgare subsp. vulgare (domesticated barley), 1237 nucleotides. It is a transcript of the gene named putative exosome complex component rrp40, with no coding region annotated. The record is from RefSeq and is a predicted model, not a curated record. The transcript is spliced from 11 exons. NCBI's taxonomy places the organism in Eukaryota, Viridiplantae, Streptophyta, Magnoliopsida, Poales, Poaceae.
CACCGGAACGAAGAAGCGCAGCCGCGCCGCGCAGACACCACCACCCUACUCCAGCAUCCAGCGUCGACGCCGUCACGCCGCCAGCCCGCCGUCCCUGAGCAAUGGAGUCGAGGAAGCCGCAGCGCUCCGCUCUGGUCGACAGCUAUGUGGUCCCCGGCGACGUCAUCCUGGACCUCGCCGAUAUGACCAACCAGACCAUCAAGCUCGGCGCCGGUCUGCGCCAGGAUUGUGACACUAUCCAGGCAACUAGUGCUGGGAGGCUUCGACUGUCCAAGCCCAACAAGUACUGGGUGGAGAACUCCCAGAAGAGGUAUGUACCUUCUGUAGAAGAUACGGUUCUUGGUGUUGUAGUUGACACCAAACCAGAUAACUUCUUGGUGGACAUAAAGGGGCCUAAUUUGGCCUUUUUACCAGUUCUUUCAUUUGAGGGUGGUACCAGGAGAAACAUACCGAAGUUUGAGAUUGGUACAUUAAUAUAUGCCAGAGUGCUGAAAGCAAAUAGCAUUAUGAAUCCAGAGCUUUCAUGCAUGGAUGCAAGUGGAAAAGCUGCUGAAUUUGGUCAAUUGAAAAGUGGUUAUACGUUUGAAACAUCAACUGGCCUGGCAAGAAUGCUUUUAAGUUCCCCAACAUGUCCACUUCUAGAGGCCCUUGGGAAAAAACUAUCAUUUGAGAUAGCUGUUGGACUGAAUGGUCGAGUAUGGGUGAAUGCUCCUUCGCCAAGUAAUGUCAUUGUUGUAUCAAGCGCAAUUAAAGAAUCAGAAUCUUAUAGUCGCUUACAACAAAAAAGCAUGGUGGAAAAACUCCUGGCUAAACUGUCAUGAUGUUCUCACUGAGCUUUAUGCAUUUGUCAACAGUGCACCUAUAUCAUGCAUCCUUUAAGCUUCAACCACGUAAGGGAGCAGGACACAAUCAGGCACUGUAAAAGGAUUCUGAAUUAUUGUCUGUUAAACGCUGCAGAUGACUCUGCAACCGGAAAGAUGGCUAGUCAUUAUCAUGCACCUUAGCAAGGAAUAGUAGAUGGGAUGGCAUGUAAAAUAGACGCGUUAAAGUGGCUGGUACUUUUUGAUGAUGUAGGGGCUAAGGCAACCAGUUGAUUGGUAAACAUUCUAAAUCAAUCACCUGUGGAUCUUGUACUUGUGGAUAUGUGGUUUAUUAGCUUUGUAAGGUGUUUUAAGGGAUUUGCACAAGGCUGCGUGUGCGGCUCUCCUGAAAGAGGAUUGAUGGGUACUAUACUAUA